CUGCCGCGGCGCGCGCGCCGGACAGCCCCCGGAGGCAGGCCGGGAAAUGGAGUCUCCCUUCGCCUCGGCGGCCUGUGAGAACGGCGCCGCGGGGGGAGCGGCGGCACCGGGCGGCGAGGCCGCCUCAGGGAGAGAGAAACGCGGUCCCCCGGGCCUUUUCCCCGAGGGAAAAGGCAAGAAACCGCUCCCAGUGCGCUUGUGUUAUUAAAAGGCUGCUGAGGCGGAGGUUAUUGAGCUGAAUCAAGUCACAGAGGGGUCUAAAGAGUUCCAGAGCCUCUGAGGGAAAAAGAAUGGAAGCAGGAUCUUCUCAUUUCAUUAGCAGCAAGCCUCCAGAUUGUGUUACAGCAUUUCAGACCAAAAGGAGACCCUUUCAAAGUAUACAGCCUUUAAUCUGGAGAUAAAUAUAUGACCAGUUUGUAGCCCACAAUGGCUAGUGUGGCUG
This is a non-coding RNA of Phalacrocorax carbo (great cormorant), 442 nucleotides long. The record is from RefSeq and is a predicted model, not a curated record. Lineage: Eukaryota; Metazoa; Chordata; Aves; Suliformes; Phalacrocoracidae.